This 145-nucleotide unclassified non-coding RNA is filed under the name soil metagenome. RNAcentral describes it as "partial internal transcribed spacer 1". The record is from RNAcentral.
UAAUAAGUGUUUUAUGGCACUUUUUAAAUCCAUAUCCACCUUGUGUGCAAUGUCAGUCGAUCUUCUUCAUGGAGGUUGACCAAACAUCAACCUUUAUUUUUUAACUCUUUGUCUGAAAAAUAUUAUGAAUAAACAAUUCAAAAUA